UGGGGAAUUUUGGACAAUGGGCGAAAGCCUGAUCCAGCAAUGCCGCGUGUGUGAAGAAGGCCUUCGGGUUGUAAAGCACUUUUGUCCGGAAAGAAAUCCUUGGCUCUAAUACAGUCGGGGGAUGACGGUACCGGAAGAAUAAGCACCGGCUAACUACGUGCCAGCAGCCGCGGUAAUACGUAGGGUGCAAGCGUUAAUCGGAAUUACUGGGCGUAAAGCGUGCGCAGGCGGUUUGCUAAGACCGAUGUGAAAUCCCCGGGCUCAACCUGGGAACUGCAUUGGUGACUGGCAGGCUAGAGUAUGGCAGAGGGGGGUAGAAUUCCACGUGUAGCAGUGAAAUGCGUAGAGAUGUGGAGGAAUACCGAUGGCGAAGGCAGCCCCCUGGGCCAAUACUGACGCUCAUGCACGAAAGCGUGGGGAGCAAACAGGAUUAGAUACCCUGGUAGUCCACGCCCUAAAACGAUGUCAACUAGUUGUUGGGGGAUUCAUUUCCUUAGUAACGUAGCUAAACGCGUGAAGUUGACCGCCU
Molecule: ribosomal RNA, 529 nt
Filed under: uncultured bacterium
Lineage: Bacteria
Description: partial 16S ribosomal RNA
Rfam family: Bacterial small subunit ribosomal RNA
Source: RNAcentral